UCCCUCUGAAGAUCAUAAUGAACACUUACUAACAGAAUAUGAAAUCCAAAUCCUCUGUUGAAUAGUUCUGGUAUAUAUUCUUCAAGCUAUUUCAAUAGUUCUCUUAACCCUUUGCCAAAGUGAUCAUGCAUUUCAAUUGAUCCUAUCAAUGAAAUAGAUUUAAGAAACAGAAAAUCUUUUUUAUUAGACUAGUUCUCUAGAAUGACUUGUGCAACCAGAUGAUUAAAAACGACACACUUUAUGUUCUGGGUUAUGGACUUUUUACAGUAUCUUGCAAGUACUGGUGAUGCAUGCUAUGAUAUUUAUGCUUAUUCUAGUAAAUAAGCAGGUAUAGGGUAGCUGACGCAAAAUAAGACAGCUAUAACAAACUUGGAGGAGAUAGGACAUACAAAGCUUUUUGUGCGACUUGUCCCAUGGACAACAAGGUUCGUCAUAUUUCCAAUGAGGCUAUCUUCCCUGAAGUUUGGUAUCACUGCACCGAUCCAGGUUCUUCCUGGGUCAGGGUAUCUAUCGGCAAUCAUAUAGUUAAAGCAUCCAGAACAGUGAACCGUGAAAAGAGUCACCUGUAGUACAAAAAGUUAUUGUACUGAGAACUUGUGGAGUUGUUUGAGGCAACACACUGAAUAAGAAGCUUACAGAGAAAAGCUUUGUGCACCGUGUCCAGAAAUAAUUCAACCGAAUAUCCUUCUCAAGUCUGAGGAAAGAAAAAUUAUCAAAAUAAUAUUUGUUCUUUUAUUGGUGAUAUAUAUACUGCAGAAUGGGAGGAGAAACAGACCUAGCAAACAGGGAACUGACACGAUGCAGCCGCCACAGCCUAAGCAUACUUAGAAGUUUAAAGCCAAGGCUAUUACCAUGUCUAUUGAAGAAGAAGCUGAUUGUUUGAAAGGGAAAUGUCGAACAUACAUCAAACAUGAACCAUGUGGACAGGUACCUGUGAAGUCAGAUUGUAUGAAGCUCAAACAGCAUCUAAGCUUCACGUCAUACAUGAUUCACAUAGAAUUUAGACACUAUAGUGAAGUAAAUAUUAGUACUUUCAAAGAAAUAGAAGACAAGUAAUAGUUAAAAUGCUAACCUGAUCGCUAUUCUUUUUGGAUCAUCAACAAGGAGAUAGGAUUUGUGGUCGAUGAAAGCAACAAAGAAGGUAAGUACAAUGUCAAUUGCAAAAAAACUAUUGACUAUGUUGUCCACAAGAAAGAUUGUGCUUGGCAGGUAUCUUAGAAAUGCAAACUCAAAUGGGCAGAUCCAGGCUGAGUAGAGAACCAGGAGUAUCAGAAACAUCUCCCACAAUCUGAAAGUGAUUGGUGAAAAUGGAAGAAAAUAAACUGCCUGAUUCUACAAAAUGUAAAUGUUAGAAACAAAGAGGCUGUUGAGUUGGUAUACCUGUAACGAGGAUCAUAUGGCGAAACAAUGUGUUUCCUGAGCUUAAUUGUAUUGUUUAUUGUUGCCCCAAGUGAUGGCAAAAGAUCACUGUGUGGACUGUAUGCCCCGUUUCCCAAUUGGAAGCCAUCGCUGCAGAAGUGCUGAAAGUAGUUUGUGCAAGAGAAUAGCAUGGCUGCACUAUGAUGCUUUUGUAGUCUGAUUGAUAUUUCAGUGGUGAUGGGAGUGGUUGUAUAUAUAACAAAGUGAAACUUGCUGUCUGUCUGUUGCCCUCUAUAUUAUGGGCUGGUUGGUAAAUGCAAAGCAAGGGGAUGAAUAAAGAUAAAGGUCAUGAGAGGGAAAAGGCAUCAGGAAUUUACUUGAAUUUAAUCAUUAGGGGCAAGAAAAACCACAGAUUGUGUUUUGAAUUGACGUCAGAACAUUAAUUUUCUUGAAACAAUGGAUGGAGGCUUUAUGUGAAAGAUACAAGUUAUGUGGUGGUGGAAACUCUACUUACAUGUUUGUGGUGGAUGUAAUUUUAGAAUGUCCAUGUAAAUUGUUGAUUUGAAGCGACUCUUCAUGAAACGUCAUACCAUAUUGAGGCCUUGUGAUGUUAAGUCGCUUUGGAGUUAAUUUUGAGGAAUUACAUCAUUUUAGAGUUUCUGAAACAUGUCAGAAGAUGGACGUGGCACCACAUUUUACAAUGAUGCAUGUUUAGUUUAGAUUGCACCAACUCUCAGUAGAGGUAUUCAGCUUAUCGUGAUGGAUGGUCACAACAGAAAGACUUCAUUUUCUUGUAACUCACUCACCAUUUUUGAGUUUCCUGAAACUUGCCAGAAGAUGUUCAUGGCACCACAUCUGGUGAUGCAUGUCUAGUCUAUGAAUGUUCCAAGAUGCUCAGAAGAGCUAUUCGUCUAAUCCUGAUCGAUGGUCAUGACAUAAAAACUUCAUUUUCUCUCUUCACAGUGAGCUUCAUAAGUUUUCCCUGAACCAUAUUGUUCUUCUUGGCACUAUGACAUUGCAUUCUGAUGGCAGUAAUCUAGCAAAGUUCUAUUAUAUUUCUAGUGUUGGCCUUGGAAUUUGUGACAUUGUGAGAAGUAGCAAUUCAGUUCAUGUAUCAUAAAACAGUAAUUCGAAGAUCAAGUCAGAUUAUGUGGCAACUCAAAAGGGUUACAAGUGCCACUUAACUUUGUGAAGCCAUGUACUAUGUCGGCAGAUGGUUAUCACAGAACUUCAAUCCCAGCCCUUUUGGAUGAACUGUUGCUCAAUGAAAACCAUGUGGUCUGAUCUUUGUGAAGAUCUAUCUAUCCAUCCAUGAUGAAUGUCUGCAUAAUGUAGAAUAACUCAGAUGUCAAACUUCGUGGUGGGUGUCAUGACUCAAUGAUUGAUGCAGAGGAAGAAUGGGACAUCACCUCUUUGUCACAGGGUCUGUUGCUAAGGUUGUCAUGGUUAUCAGGAAGAGCCGAGGGUUUACAGCAUUCAAAUGCGACAUUUGAGUUCUCUGUACUGACUGAGCACACAGGAUACGGCACCUUAGAGCUUUUACCAUAUUAACAGCUUAUGUUCCCUUCUGUCUUCCCCUCACUGGACAAAGAAGCUAGGGGAAAGAACAUCUUAAAUGCCAUAGGUCUGGAACCUGAUCCACAUAUUGGUUGGUUGGUUCUUUUAUUUUUAACCUCCAUCACUAAAUAGCUCGAGUCCCCGAUGCUCUGUACAAUAAUUUGGGAUAUCUUCCAUUCUUUGGUUAGCUCACCUCUCAUGUCCCAUCUCAUGGUCCCUCAAAGUGAAUUGGUCCACAUAAUUGAAAGGUUCUAUGGCCUAAGGAUUAGCCCACUGCUUCAUUAGUGCUUCUGUUAUCAUUCAAAUGGAUACUGCAUAACCUGAUCGAGAUUUGUAGAUUGGUGUUAUUGUUUUCUCCUUCAUUUUUGGUGUGAGACGAAUACGGUGGCAAGACUCUCCUUUAGCUCUUUGUGGUUGCUUUUUGAGAUGUACCAUGACAUUUGACACAGUGUAGCUUGUGAGUUCUACAUGGCACCCCAGUUACCUCAUCUCAACUGAGGUAAGAAGGCUGUUGUUACGUCGGUGACUAGUAAUCCGCUGUUAUUCCGCAUUAUCCACUGUCAGCUUCAUCUUGUGCAAUGUAUUAGCUGGGGAUGAUUGAUCAUGAAACAUUCUCUUAAUCUCUGUUGUCUUUCAUCAGCCACGUUUUGGUGCCGUAGCAUGUUCUUAUAUUCUAUAUGAAAAAGAUGCACCAUCAUUAAUUAUUUGGUUGUUGUCUUAGCAUUGGAACUUGGUGGAUAGGCAAAGGCAGGCAGGACAUCGGUCAAGGUGGACCAACAAAGUAUGGCUUUCCCCUGGAGUCCUGAUGUUUGGUGGUCCUCUUGGAAAAUUGGAGGUGCAACUAUAUCAUGCCUCGAUAUUCCUUGGUACUGUGACAUGGAUUUUUAUAUCCGCACCUGCAGAUAUUGGUGUGAUAUUUCAUGAUUAUGUCGACCCAAAGGACUGGUUCAUCCUUAUCAUAGCUAUCUAAUAUUGUCUCUAAUGAAUGUUGCAGCUCGAGUACAACACUAUUCAUCAGCAAUCUUUGACAGUCUCUUUAGCAUUUUAGCUUUGCAGAGGUGUUGUAGCGAGGACCGUUCACCAUGCUGGUAUCGAGUGGUUGAUCAUUCAAGCAACCAAUCUCCCUCAUCCUGCGUGGCUCUCUCACAAACCGCAAACCAUUCAUGUGCUGCUCACAAGGAGAUCAUGCCUACCCCUCGUCCCAUGGUGGCAGGUGGGAGUUGACAUAGAUCACUUUCCAAGAUUUCUGAUGUUUCUGUGGAGUGAAUCAGCACCCAAACAUUUUGUCACCUCUCACCAGCUUGAUGAGUGGGAUUGAUCUAGUGGAUUUCCCAUCCCCCAAACUGGAUAAAGGAAAUCAUCUGUUGAAGACUGUUGAUUGGACUAGAUCAUGAAUGACAUGGAAAGCUUGGUCAUCUACGCAAGAGGAUUGAGUGUUGAUCGCACUAGAUUAUGGUAUUAAGUGAUGCAAACACCUGCAUGCGACAAGUGCCGGAUUUGUUGCAAGGAAUAACAUCACGGAAACAAUUAUUGUGAUGACUACCCAACACCUAAACAGCACACUACUCAUGGCAAAGACUGUUGUGGCUUGGGAUGACGGCCAACCACCUUCAUGUUUAAACUCCUGCUGUGGAAGGAGAUUCUAUCACACAGAUUAUUUAUGUCGAAGAAAAUGGUAUCCAUGUGCCUACCACAUGAUAUUUCUGAGUAUGGUUUACCAUGGAUCAUUGUCGUCGGCAUCCGACUGGGCUGCAACUUUUGGGACCGCCAUGACCGUCUCCAGAGAUGGACCGUUUGUUUCCCUGUGGAUGUUCGGGUAUGAAUACUUCUCUUAGCUUCGCAGUAAAAUUCAUUCCCUCUCUUUUUCUUUCUGAAAUAGAUGUUCCAUAUUGUCAUCCUCUUGCAUCCUUAAUCGUUUGUCUUUUCCUAGUGAGUGAUAACUAAGAUAGAACACUCAUAAGCUUGCAAUUUUUGUUGGAACAAGUGGAAGUGGUCUGAUUGACCUAAGGAUCUUUUGGAACAUGAUAUGUAAGAGGAACGAUCAUAUGCUUGCUGGUACUAACUUACCUAGGGAUCUUUUGGAGCAUGAUAGAUAUGUAUUGUUGAUUAGUCAUUGAAUGAAGUGAUUUCUUUUCAGAAAGUGAAAUAUUGAUAAAAACACAACAGUAGAGUGGAUAUUUGUCAUGCAAUCCAUAAGAACUUUAAAUGCACUAUGUAGUCAGAAAAAACACAACUUAGUACCACCCAUACGAUGAGAGAGAGAUUUUAUCUUGUUCCAAGUUGCAUGUACACCCGAAAGGUGUGAUGGUCAAAGAAUGCAUCUGGAGGACAAGUCAUCUUUGUGCAUACAAGUCAUAUCAAUGUUCCAGUGUUCCCCUUUAGGUACAAGUCAUAUAUAUCAUCUCGAAGCAUCGUAAAAUCCCCUUCCUUUUGGUUGAUGGCUUCCUACGCCAUGCAUCUUUCUACAGCAUCGGUUCAUGUUAACAAAGGCUCAAGAUUAGCUUGUGUCGGUGAGAUUACUGUUUGAGCCCCAGGAAAGUUUCAAGAUUUCCCAACUCCGAGUCGGCUCGACUCCUGCCGUGCCGGACUCGGUUCAGAAUGGCGUCGACGUCGUCGUACCACGACGACCAGGACAUCAAGUGGUCCGUGUUGCCAAGUUGAAGUAGAGUACCACCUGCUUGUCAAAAUGCCACAUUGGAACCAUAUGCUACGAGUCCUAUUCACCACUGCAUUAUGGAGCGAACCCGUCCAUGGUGGACGGCCGUCGUGUUGUAAGAGUCCAACGUGACUGUUCCCUCUCUCUGGAGCCAAUGGAGACUGUACUCUCCACUUCUUCAAGGAUUAGGCAGAGGAGUGAGAUUCGACUCUCCGGGCGCCGAGAAGCUGUGUUCUCUUUGCUAGCUGUGGGAGAGGACUGCAACCAGCAGUCGCACAAGUAAAUAACAGGGUGCAUCUAAUUGAGGUUCUCUUUCCACCUUCUAGUCAUUUUGGAAGUAAGCUGGGGGGGAAGGAGGAGGGGGAGUUGACCUAUGACUUAAGGUGGUCCUACCAUAUCUACAAUAAUUUGCCGAGCUAUUCCCAUCCACCUUCCAUUCCAUGGGAAACCUUAUUUUGGUUAACUCGUGCAAUAAUUGAAGGGAUACCACUAACUCCGGUACAUCGUCAGGUUUAAGGUCACAUCUAUAGUGGGUGCAUGUUUCGCUUGAUCGAGGAACAGGACAUUUCUCUUGUCGAUAAACGUGCGGCGGCAGACGACCGGUGAUCAUGGCGAAAUCACCCUCGUCACUCACCUUUGUCGUUGUGACAGUUCAUCUUUUGUUCGUUGUCAUCCUUCUCCGUUGUAUGAUUGUAAGUAGCAAGGCUAGGCUUGUGACAUCCGGGGACUUUCUGCCAUUUUGAAACUGCAGCUGCCGAAUUAAGUUCUUGUUGCAAUCAA
This is a long non-coding RNA of Musa acuminata AAA Group (dessert banana), 6352 nucleotides long. RefSeq lists it as uncharacterized. The record is from RefSeq and is a predicted model, not a curated record. The transcript is spliced from 4 exons. NCBI's taxonomy places the organism in Eukaryota, Viridiplantae, Streptophyta, Magnoliopsida, Zingiberales, Musaceae.